This 69-nucleotide transfer RNA is filed under the name Haplothrips aculeatus. Its description in RNAcentral is "tRNA-Asp". The record is from RNAcentral. Lineage: Eukaryota; Metazoa; Arthropoda; Insecta; Thysanoptera; Phlaeothripidae.
GAAAAUUUAAUUAAAAAUUAUAUAAUAUUGAAAUGUCAUUUCAAAAUUGUUGAUACAUAACAGUUUUCG